AGUGAACGCUGGCGGUAGGCCUAACACAUGCAAGUCGAACGGCAGCACAGUAAGAGCUUGCUCUUACGGGUGGCGAGUGGCGGACGGGUGAGGAAUACAUCGGAAUCUACUUUUUCGUGGGGGAUAACGUAGGGAAACUUACGCUAAUACCGCAUACGACCUACGGUUGAAAGCAGGGGAUCUUCGGACCUUGUGCGAUUGAAUGAGCCGAUGUCGGAUUAGCUAGUUGGCGGGGUAAAGGCCCACCAAGGCGGCGAUCCGUAGCUGGUCGGAGAGGAUGAUCAGCCACACUGGAACUGAGACACGGUCCAGACUCCUACGGGAGGCAGCAGUGGGGAAUAUUGGACAAUGGGCGCAAGCCUGAUCCAGCCAUACCGCGUGGGUGAAGAAGGCCUUCGGGUUGUAAAGCCCUUUUGUUGGGAAAGAAAAGCAGCAGGUUAAUACCCCGCUGUUCUGACGGUACCGAAAGAAUAAGCACCGGCUAACUUCGUG
RNAcentral lists this ribosomal RNA (492 nucleotides) under uncultured bacterium. RNAcentral describes it as "partial 16S ribosomal RNA". It matches the Rfam family "Bacterial small subunit ribosomal RNA", at positions 29 to 507 of the family's 1533-position model. The record is from RNAcentral.